UACGUAGGGGGCAAGCGUUGUCCGGAAUCAUUGGGCGUAAAGAGCGUGUAGGCGGCCCGGUAAGUCCGCCGUGAAAGUCCAGGGCUCAACCCUGGAAUGCCGGUGGAAACUGCCGGGCUGGAGUCCGGAAGAGGCGAGUGGAAUUCCUGGUGUAGCGGUGGAAUGCGCAGAUAUCAGGAGGAACACCAACGGCGAAGGCAGCUCGCUGGGACGGUACUGACGCUGAGGCACGAAAGCGUGGGGAGCGAACAGG
This 253-nucleotide ribosomal RNA is filed under the name uncultured bacterium. RNAcentral describes it as "partial 16S ribosomal RNA". It matches the Rfam family "Bacterial small subunit ribosomal RNA", at positions 524 to 776 of the family's 1533-position model. The record is from RNAcentral.